AUGGUGGUAGACAGAUCGCUGUGCGGAACCGGACCAUUGCUGACUUGACGUUAUCUGUGGCAGCUAUGUGAACUGCUUCUUUAAGAGGGAUUUUGCUCCAAACCUUUUGCGCAAAAGGACACAUGAAGAAGGUUCUUUCCCAAGGACAAGGCAUCGUGAGCUAUCGACCAAAGGAACAUUCUUAUCUUGGGAGAGCAGGAGGUUGCCCAUACAUCCUUGAUCCAAUCGAAUUCGUCAGUUAGGUGGUUCGCAUUGCGAUUUUGAGUGGGGUUUACCAUAGCGUUGUACCCUGAUCAUGUAGUGUAAACCCCCGACAGGAGAGGUUGCCAAAUGAAGCUAUCCUCUGCCUCUUUUUGGCUGGGUUUGAUGCAUUGGAUACGCUCAACAAAUUCGGGUCCAAAAUGUUUGAUUUGCUCAUCAAGGGACAUCCAAGAGUCUUUCCACACCCUCGUUGAUAAACCGUUGCCUAUUGCCUUGCCUAGAUUUUCUCUGAGCAAGUUUAUGAUGUGUAGUAUUCCUCUCUAACCGUGUGAACAGACUGAAACUAACUCCACUUCUAGAAAGCUCUGAUUAUGACAAUAUUUUCCUUUUAGAAUCCUUGCUAGGAGGCAAUCUAGAACUGUUAAAAUUCUCCACGCGAUUUAGCUAGGAGAGCUUGAUAAAAUAGCUGAAUGUUCCUGAAUCUAUGUCCUCCCUCCCUCCGCUUUUGACAUAGUUAGCCUGUUCCACACUACCCAACUCAUCUUCCUCUUGUUGUCUGGUCCAUCCCACCAUAAACGAGUUAGAACCGAUUGUAUUCUUUUGCACAUACUAGCCGGUAACUCAAAACAUGACAUCGUGUAGGUAGGUACGGUACUGAGAACAGCCUUCAACAACGUUAACUUUCCCGCUUUGGAGAGACACCGUGUAGAACCAACUAACAGCUCUUUGGCGUAUUCUAUCAACAAUGGCUGUGAAUAGAUCUCGUUUCCUUCUCCCAAAGUGCUCUGGGACACCAAGGAUCUUCAAAAGGACAUGACAGGAGGUCGGAGUUGCAGCACUGAAGAACAUUGUGUCAUCCGCAAAUAACAGGCGAUUAACUCUAGGACAACCUCACGCAAUUUUAAUCCCCUGUAGAGUUUCAUCUUGUGUUGCAUUGUUACAUAAACCUGAUAUUCCCCACAUAGGAUGAAAAUGUAUGGGGACAAAGAGUCCCCUUGUCUGAUUCCUCUACUAGGUUUGACUAGACCAUAUACGUAUACGUGAUCGUUAAUCAAGUAUGAAUAGGAAACCGUAGUGAUACA
This is a long non-coding RNA of Brassica rapa (field mustard), 1283 nucleotides long. RefSeq lists it as uncharacterized. The record is from RefSeq and is a predicted model, not a curated record. NCBI's taxonomy places the organism in Eukaryota, Viridiplantae, Streptophyta, Magnoliopsida, Brassicales, Brassicaceae.